GGCGAACGCUGGCGGCAGGCUUAACACAUGCAAGUCGAGCGGGCCCUUCGGGGUCAGCGGCGGACGGGUGAGUAACGCGUGGGAACGUGCCUUCUGGUUCGGAAUAACUCAGGGAAACUUGAGCUAAUACCGGAUACGCCCUUUUGGGGAAAGGUUUACUGCCGGAAGAUCGGCCCGCGUCUGAUUAGCUAGUUGGUGGGGUAACGGCCUACCAAGGCGACGAUCAGUAGCUGGUCUGAGAGGAUGAUCAGCCACACUGGGACUGAGACACGGCCCAGACUCCUACGGGAGGCAGCAGUGGGGAAUAGUGGACAAUGGGCGCAAGCCUGAUCCAGCCAUGCCGCGUGAGUGAUGAAGGCCUUAGGGUUGUAAAGCUCUUUUAUCCGGGACGAUAAUGACGGUACCGGAGGAAUAAGCCCCGGCUAACUUCGUG
RNAcentral lists this ribosomal RNA (433 nucleotides) under uncultured bacterium. Its description in RNAcentral is "partial 16S ribosomal RNA". It matches the Rfam family "Bacterial small subunit ribosomal RNA", at positions 28 to 507 of the family's 1533-position model. The record is from RNAcentral.